Long non-coding RNA from Mus musculus (house mouse), 1047 nucleotides. RefSeq annotates it as RIKEN cDNA 9030625G05 gene. The transcript has 7 exons. NCBI's taxonomy places the organism in Eukaryota, Metazoa, Chordata, Mammalia, Rodentia, Muridae. The record is from RefSeq and is marked validated.
GCUAGGGGUUGGCUAGGCAGGUGAUGGAUGAACCAAGGUACUCAACGGUGCGUGCAGGAGAUGAUGAUAAACCUACAGACGAGUGAUCGAAAGGAGCCCCUAACGGCCUUAGGUCAGAGGCGAAUGAGAGAAGAAGAGAGCAAGUGAUCCUGUGGUGGAGCCUUUGACUCCGUGGGGAAGCUGCACGGAACAGAAUUGAAGGCAUCUCAUAGUGAGGGGCAGAGUCUAAUUUUAUAGUCCAGGAUGACCUCAAACUUGUGACCCAUCUGCUUUGGUUUCCUGAGUGCUGGAGUCUCAGAAUUUGGGCCUGCAGUUCCUGCAACUUUGGGCUCUUAUGUCUUGGAAGUCUUGGUUUCCAAGACAGGAAGUCUAUGGGAGGCAACACAAAGUUUCCACUGGAUUGAGGAGGACUGAUCCAAUCACAGAGAGAGGGUUGAUUGCUGACCGAAUGAGGACAAGGACGGAUUUGCAGAAUUCUGGUUGCUCUGUUCCUGGAAGUCAGGCUUCCAAGAGGAGUUGACAUGGACCAAUGGGGUUUCGCCACAUAGCCAAGACAACGGGGUCUCUGCUGAGUUCACACUGUUGCCUUUGGUGAACUUCAACCCUGAAUAAAACCUUUCUUUUGGGCGUGACGCUGGGGACUAAAGCCGGUCUUCACACAUACUAGGGUUUCUCUGCAUAGCCCUGGCUGGCCUGGAACUCACUUUGUAGACCAGGCUGGCCUCGAACUCAGAAAUCCGCCUGCCUCUGCCUCCCGAGUGCUAGGACUAAAGGCAUGCACCACCACGGCCGCCCGGCUGAGUUAUUCAGGUUUUAUUCAAGAUUGAAGUUCACCACUUGAGUCCUCUCUCCAGCCCCAGACUGGCUUUAGCCUGCCAUCCUUUUGCCUUCGUUUCUGGAGGCUGAGAUUACAGACAUGCAUCACCACGCACAACCCUGCUGAUUUUGGUCUUUGUCAUAUUUGAUGUCGGUGUUAUUCUGGCUCGGCAAGAAGAAUUUGGGCGAUUUUACUGCUUACUUGACUCUGAAAUAAAAUUUAGGUCCUUU